ACUUCAGUUAUUGUUUUAAAUCUUUUUUUUUUUUGACAAUACAAUAUCACAUUUUAUAUGCAGUCUUGAAAAUGGCGUGGGGUAAAUGGUGACCGUUAUUGCGCAUACACUGAUUAAAUCGAUUUUUGAAAUUCGUGUCCACUCUGCAAUCUGUACGUUGACAAUGGAGUCGCGAAUGUUGUUCUUGAGAUGUGCUGUGGUACGUGGUCGAUCGACAUAAACCAGGAAUUUCAAAUAAAUCCAUAAAAUGAAAUCGCACAGACUCAAAUCUGGAGAGAGCGCCGGCCAUUGGAGAUCGCCUCUAAGAGAGAUGAGGCGGUCGGGGAAAUGUUGUCGCAACAAAUUUAUUUAGUCUCUUACUGUGUGUGCUGUGGGACCAUCUUGCCGAAACCACAAGUUUUUAACAUUAAGUUCAUGCAUUCACGGUAAGGGAAGGCACGUUGGUAAGCAACAAGCGAGCAACCGUUAGAAAAGAAGGUCUCGACGGCGAUGGCCCGCUGCUCCCUACACCAAUACAUGAUGGCAAGAGAGAAAAACAAACUUGGGGACUUCCCCCUCCAGAUGCGCACUCUCGACUCGCUCCCAGUUCAACUCACCGGUCGGGAGUUUUUUCAAUUAAAUGACAUAUGCUUGGAUCGUAUAAAUGUAUGUGUGAACCUCUGAGCCGUGGAGACACCACUAAAACAUCUGGAACAUAUCAAAAUAAAAAUAUUAUUUACGAGCAUUCGCUUAAACAAGCCCCCUUCCAAGUGGUUCGUAUUAUAUCACAAAGCAAUCUUGAAAUAUUAAAUCCAAGUGAAGUUAUUUACUUUAACACUUAAAUAUUAAAAUUUUAUCAAAUAUUUGUGUACUUCAGAAUGUUGUCAUUUAGCAUUUACAAUAAACUUAUAACAAUGUUUUGUGAAUCCA
Stomoxys calcitrans (stable fly) is the source of this 909-nucleotide long non-coding RNA. RefSeq lists it as uncharacterized. The transcript is spliced from 2 exons. NCBI's taxonomy places the organism in Eukaryota, Metazoa, Arthropoda, Insecta, Diptera, Muscidae. The record is from RefSeq and is a predicted model, not a curated record.